CAGCUGUCCUUCAUCACAACAGAAGACACAGAAAUCCUCCUCAUCAAAAACAUGACUUUGAUCUGCGUCCUCAUCUGGACUCUCCUCUGCUGCUGCUUCACAGAGGUCAGAGGUCAGGUCACACUGACUCAGCCUGCAGCAUUGAGAGCUAAUCUGGGAAGAUCUGCCAACAUAAACUGUAGAACCAGUCAGAAUGUUUAUGUUUAUAGCGGCUCCCACUGUUUAGCCUGGUACCAACAGAAAGAUGGACAAACUCCUAAGCGGCUCAUUUAUUAUACCAGCACUCGAGAAUCAGGGACUCCAAGUCGUUUCUCAGGCAGUGGAUCAAACUCUGACUUCACUCUGACCAUCAGUGGAGUUCAGGCUGAAGAUGCUGCAGUUUAUUACUGUCAGAGUUACCACAGCGGUGGGGUGUUCACACAGUGAAAAACAGUCGUACAAAAACCUCCCUCAGUCAAACUGAACUGCAACUAUGUUGCUGCAGCUUCCA
Xiphophorus maculatus (southern platyfish) is the source of this 490-nucleotide non-coding RNA. Lineage: Eukaryota; Metazoa; Chordata; Actinopteri; Cyprinodontiformes; Poeciliidae. The record is from the annotation of a RefSeq genome assembly.